Molecule: ribosomal RNA, 520 nt
Filed under: uncultured Glomus
Lineage: Eukaryota; Fungi; Glomeromycota; Glomeromycetes; Glomerales; Glomeraceae
Description: SSU rRNA
Rfam family: Eukaryotic small subunit ribosomal RNA
Source: RNAcentral
AGCAGCCGCGGUAAUUCCAGCUCCAAUAGCGUAUAUUAAAGUUGUUGCAGUUAAAAAGUUCGUAGUUGAAUUUCGGGGUUAGUAGGUUGGUCAUGCCACUGGUAUGUACUGGUCUCACUGAUUCCUCCUUCCUGAUGAGACGUAAUGCCAUUAAUUUGGUGUUGCGAGGAAUCUGGACUGUUACUUUGAAAAAAUUAGAGUGUUUAAAGCAGGCUAACGCUUGAAUACAUUAGCAUGGAAUAAUGAAAUAGGACGUUCGAUCUUAUUUUGUUGGUUUCUAGGAUUGACGUAAUGAUUAAUAGGGAUAGUUGGGGGUCAUUAGUAUUCAAUUGUCAGAGGUGAAAUUCUUGGAUUUAUUGAAGACUAACUAACUGCGAAAGCAUUUGCCAAGGAUAUUUUCAUUAAUCAAGAACGAAAGUUAGGGGAUCGAAGACGAUCAGAUACCGUCGUAGUCUUAACCAUAAACUAUGCCGACUAGGGAUCGGAUGAUGUUAAUUUUUAAUGACUCAUUCGGCGCCUU